GCUGUUUCCUUUGGGAAUUAUUCCCAAAGCUGGGAUUCCUUCCUUUGGGAUCAUUCCAAUCUUUGGGCUCCUUCCUUUGGGAUUAUUCCCAAAUUUGGGCUGUUUCCUUUGGGAUCAUUCCCAAUCUUUGGGCUCCUUCCUUUGGGAUCAUUCCCAAAUUUGGGGUUCCUUCCUUUGGGAUCAUUCCCAAUUUUGGGUUCCUUCCUUUGGGAUCAUUCCCAAUCUUUGGGGUUCCUUCCUUUGGGAUCAUUCCCAAUUUUGGGAUUCCUUCCUUUGGGAUCGUUCCAAAUUUUGGGCUCCUUCCUUUGGGAUCAUUCCCAAUCUUUGAGUUCCUUCCUUUGGGAUCAUUCCCAAUCUUUGAGCUGUUUCCUUUGGGAAUUAUUCCCAAAGUUGGGAUUCCUUCCUUUGGGAUCAUUCCAAUCUUCGGGCUCCUUCCUUUGGGAUUAUUCCCAAAUUUGGGCUGUUUCCUUUGGGAUCAUUCCCAAUCUUUGGGCUCCUUCCUUUGGGAUCAUUCCCAAAUUUGGGGUUCCUUCCUUUGGGAUCAUUCCCAAUUUUGGGUUCCUUCCUUUGGGAUCAUUCCCAAUCUUUGGGGUUCCUUCCUUUGGGAUCAUUCCCAAUUUUGGGAUUCCUUCCUUUGGGAUCGUUCCAAAUUUUGGGCUCCUUCCUUUGGGAUCAUUCCCAAUCUUUGAGCUGUUUCCUUUGGGAAUUAUUCCCAAAGUUUGGAUUCCUUCCUUUGGGAUCAUUCCAAUCUUUGGGCUCCUUCCCUUGGGAUUAUUCCCAAUUUUGAUCUGUUUCCUUUGGGAUCAUUCCCAAUCUUUGGGGUUCCUUCCCUUGGGAUUAUUCCAAAUUUUUUGGUUCCUUCCUUUGGGAAUUAUUCCCAAUUUUGGGCUGUUUCCUUUGGGAUCAUUCCCAAUCUUUGGGUUUCUUCCUUUGGGAUCAUUCCAAAUUUUUGGGUUCCUUCCUUUGGGAUCAUUCCAAAUUUUUGGGUUCCUUCCUUUGGGAUUAUUCCGGGAAAAAUAA
Molecule: long non-coding RNA, 1020 nt
Filed under: Cyanistes caeruleus (blue tit)
Lineage: Eukaryota; Metazoa; Chordata; Aves; Passeriformes; Paridae
Description: lncRNA (ENSCCEG00000017968.1)
Source: RNAcentral